This 253-nucleotide ribosomal RNA is filed under the name uncultured bacterium. RNAcentral's name for it is "partial 16S ribosomal RNA". It matches the Rfam family "Bacterial small subunit ribosomal RNA", at positions 524 to 776 of the family's 1533-position model. The record is from RNAcentral.
UACGUAGGUGGCGAGCGUUGUCCGGAAUUACUGGGUGUAAAGCGCGUGUAGGCGGGAGGCCAAGUCUGCGGUGAAAUCGCUCGGCUCAACUGGGCGGGGUCCGUGGAAACUGGUCACCUGGAGGACGGUAGAGGCGAGUGGAAUUCCUAGUGUAGAGGUGAAAUUCGUAGAUAUUAGGAAGAACACCAGUGGCGAAGGCGGCUCACUGGCCCGGUACUGACGCUGAGGCGCGAAAGCGUGGGGAGCAAACAGG